RNAcentral lists this ribosomal RNA (726 nucleotides) under uncultured marine bacterium. Its description in RNAcentral is "bacterial SSU rRNA". It matches the Rfam family "Bacterial small subunit ribosomal RNA", at positions 57 to 779 of the family's 1533-position model. The record is from RNAcentral.
GCAAGUCGUGCGAGAAAAUAUCUUCGGAUAUGAGUAGAGCGGCGAACGGGUGAGUAACGCGUAGGAAUGUACCUAGUAGAAGGGGAUAGCCCGGGGAAACUCGGAUUAAUACCGUAUACCUCCUUUGGGAGAAAGAAGGCCUCUCUUUGAAGCUUUCGCUAUUAGAUCAGCCUGCGUAAGAUUAGCUUGUUGGUGAGGUAAUGGCUCACCAAGGCUACGAUCUUUAGCUGGUCUGAGAGGACGAUCAGCCACACUGGGACUGAGACACGGCCCAGACUCCUACGGGAGGCAGCAGUGGGGAAUAUUGGACAAUGGGCGCAAGCCUGAUCCAGCCAUACCGCGUGUGUGAAGAAGGCCUUCGGGUUGUAAAGCACUUUAAGCAGGGAGAAAAAGAUAUAGGUUAAUACCCUAUAUCCGUGAUGUUACCUGCGGAAUAAGCACCGGCUAAUUCCGUGCCAGCAGCCGCGGUAAUACGGAAGGUGCAAGCGUUAAUCGGAAUUACUGGGCGUAAAGCGCGCGUAGGUGGUUUUUAAGUUGGAUGUGAAAGCCCUGGGCUCAACCUAGGAACUGCAUCCAAAACUGAAUAACUAGAGUACGAUAGAGGGAGGUAGAAUUCAUAGUGUAGCGGUGGAAUGCGUAGAUAUUAUGAAGAAUACCAGUGGCGAAGGCGGCCUCCUGGAUCUGUACUGACACUGAGGUGCGAAAGCGUGGGUAGCGAACAGGAUU